Small nucleolar RNA from Heterocephalus glaber (naked mole-rat), 134 nucleotides. The record is from Ensembl. Lineage: Eukaryota; Metazoa; Chordata; Mammalia; Rodentia; Bathyergidae.
AGCCUCAUUCUAGAUGAGAAUGGGCACUAUUGAUUGGUGUCCAAAAUUGCUCAGUGUGGCUAAAAUUGAGACACAGGUCAUGCUUCCAUCACAGUAAACAUAUUACAGUGGUGACAAUGAGACCUGUAACAUUU